This 1056-nucleotide unclassified non-coding RNA is filed under the name Hevea brasiliensis (rubber tree). The record is from RNAcentral. Lineage: Eukaryota; Viridiplantae; Streptophyta; Magnoliopsida; Malpighiales; Euphorbiaceae.
UCGUCAGACUUGCUCUUUCGCUCAUGGCAAUGCUGAACUCCGUCGCUUCUCCGGUUCCGGUGGCGAAAUGCGAGAUUUUCGUGGUCGUGACUUGAGAGAGAAGCUUGAUAGAGAGCAUUCUCCAGUGGGAAGAUACUCCUCUGGUAAAGGGCAUUCUCCAGUGGGUAGAUACUCUUCUGAAAGAGGGCAUUCUCCAGUGGGCAGAUACUCUUCUGAUAGAGAUGCAAGAGAGAGACAUGCAUCCCGUGGACGCAGUCCUCCUGAGUCUGUUGAGAGGAGUGAUAGAAAGCGCAGGAUGAAACAGCAUUCGGAUGGUCAAAGUGACAUCUCUGGAAGUUUGAACAUGUCCGAUGGGACAGGAGAUCAUGUGAAGGAGAAAAAACAUUUAUCGUCCAAUUCCAAAGAUGUCCUUCAGCUUAGGCAGUUGCAAUCUGAAAUCAAUAUGUUGGAUGACGAAAAACGAGAACUGGAGAUAUACCUUGAAGAGACAACUUGUCAGGCAGAAAGUCUAGCUUCAAAAAAUCAGGAACUAGAGAUGGAACUUUUCAAGGAAAAGGAGGAACGUAAAAGGAUUACUUUGAAGACUAAGCAGUUCAUUGAAGCAUAUACUAAUCACUCACGGUUGGAAGCUGAACUGAAGAGGUCAGAAGCUCAGCUUCAAAAGCUCGCUUACAAACUCAGCUCAGAUUUCAUCAGAACUGGUGCAAGUGAAGAGGAUUCUGCCAUCAACAUUAGUGAUGGAGGGAUGGCUGGUAAUCAUUUUAGUUCAUUGGUUGAGCAGCAGAAGAAUACUUCACCUACCAAGAAAAGGCCGAGAAUUCAUCAUGAAGCUGAUGAAACGUCAAAUCAAGCGUUAACAAGAGCAAAAGGAAAUGGUGCGCAGAGGAUAAGCUAUCCUACUCAGCUGAGUAAUGAGAAGAAAGACGAGGCAGACUUUUCCAGUGACAUGACUUUCACUAACAAGCCCAAAGCUUCUGAGAGUGCUGUUGUUUUGCCACCAACUAGCAUGGCCGCUCAUGCAAAGGAUGAAGAUGCCGAAGUUGGCGAGACAGAGGA